CCUCCUUUGUGACCUACUUUGCACAGUGAGAUUACGUUUUUCCGCAUUGGAUGCACGUGUCGACCAUCGCUGUGCAACGCCUGCUCCUCCACUUUUCUUCUCCAUUUUUCCCUUCCGUUUUCAUUUUUCCCACGCGUCGAUCAUCGAUGGACCUGCUUUCGCGUCUCUCUCUCUCGCUGUUCUCAGUUCCGCUAUUCUAAACUCUAGCUUCGUGUCUCCAAAACGGCGAAUUUUCUCGCCCUCCAACCUUCCAUCUUUCUCUCAGGAAUUAUCGACAACGGUGCAAUUAGAUCCGAUUCAAUUUUUUACCCAGAAACGUUGGCGUUUCCUGGCUUGGAUCCUCCUCCUCCUUCUCUUCCUCACCCAAACCAGCAGCCCCACCUUCGCUUGAUACUGACGGAAACACCACGAAUUGAGGCGCAACACCAAUACUGUAACAAUUAUAAGAAAAGAGCUCCAAACCCGCAAAGUAGGGGAAAAUGGAAUAAGGCAAUUGAAUGAGCGGUUUGUACAGUAGCUAAGUGCAUAAAAAAGUAGGAUUACAAAUAAAUAGCAGCAUGUGAACUAAAUACAAAACAAUCAAGAUUGAACUUGAUCUGCAGCAGCCGCAUCCUCUGAGGAAUCCGUGUUGGAACAGAACUGUAUUUGUGCAGAUCUUGCAAACGUAUUUGAAGUGUUGUUGCCACAACUUCUGUUGUAUCCCAAUCCUUCUGACGCUUUAAACGGAGAGGCUGCAGCUUUAAUGAUGUGUUACCAAGCUGCUUAUGAACAAAGAGUUAAAGCAAUUGUCAUUGGACGUGUGUUCGAGCCACAGGUUUUCCCAAAAUUAGAUCGUUUCUAAUUCCGUUCUGCAAUCAUGUUGUGUUUGUCUGUUUUUAAUUGUUGGUGCAAGCUUGAAGGAGAUUGUGAAAAAUUGGACUGACUCCUCCAACAAAGCUAUCAACCGCCUCCUUGCCCAAGGUGGUACAAUAGUUCUAUCCGAUCAUGGUCGCUAUUUUUCAAAGGAUGCUGUGGAAUUUCAAGAUUGAAAACCGAUGGCUUUCAAUCUUUUAAAACAAAUUACCUUUGUAAGGUAUCAAAACUAUAAUUUUUCUAUAGCAAAUAAAAUUCUUUCCUUCACUAUGGUAAUUUUGUUUA
Malus domestica (apple) is the source of this 1137-nucleotide non-coding RNA. NCBI's taxonomy places the organism in Eukaryota, Viridiplantae, Streptophyta, Magnoliopsida, Rosales, Rosaceae. The record is from RefSeq and is a predicted model, not a curated record.